RNAcentral lists this long non-coding RNA (2293 nucleotides) under Fragaria vesca (wild strawberry). RNAcentral's name for it is "long non-coding RNA (FVES_LNC002596)". The record is from RNAcentral. Lineage: Eukaryota; Viridiplantae; Streptophyta; Magnoliopsida; Rosales; Rosaceae.
AAUAUCUUCGGAUUAUAUGUCUGAGUAACGAGCUAUUUUUUACUAAUUUUUGAAAUUUUAGAUUUUCAUUUAUAAUUUUUAGUUUUACCAUUUAUCUGGACCUUUAUGUUUUUUUUUUGCUGGGCGGUUUAUUUUUUAGAUAAAAGGGUUGAAACCCCUGAUCCUUCUCAUUCGGAAUCGAGAGAGGGAGAGACUGAGGAGGAGGAGGAGAGCGACGCCGCUCCGGUCCCCGUCAAGGCGCGCCUCCGUGGCCGUGGCUGACGAUCGAAUAGAGCCCCCGGCCAAAUCCAAACCCUAGAAGGUAAUUUCUCUUUUCCCUCUUCGUUUUCCAUCCCCCUUGAUCCCUUCUCAUUCGGAAUCGAGAGAGGGAGAGACUGAGGAGGAGGAGAGCGACGCCGCUCCGGUCCCCGUCCAGGCGCGCCUCCGCGGCCGUCGCUGACGAUCGAAUAGAGCCCCCGGCCAAAUCCAAACCCUAGAAGGUAAUUUCUCUUUUCCCUCUUCGUUUUCCAUCCCCCUUGAGCUUCGAUUUUCAGAAAUAGAGCCCUAAUCCGAAUUUCCUUUUUGGGUCCGAGGUUUGGUUUACGGCAAGGGCUUGCGUUCCUUGAAGGAGGCUUGGUGGCAGCUGUUACUGUUUCGGAGGGAGGCAGUGACUUUGGGUGAUUGGUCGAGUGUCUUUAAUCUUGAGUUUGUUUUCAGCGACUCUCCAAUUUGGUUUUAGCUCUAGAUUCACGUUUUGAAUAGAUUGGAGGUAAGGGUUAUGAAUUGAACUGCUGUGUUGUUGUUAUGUUGUGGUUGGUUGGUGUUUGAUUUAGCGCUUUGGUUGUUUGUCGAGAACUAGGCAUGUUGCCGGAAUCUGGCAGAAUAUUCCGGCAAGGGAUUCCGGCGAUGGCAGUUUUUUCGGCAAGGAUGAGAGAGGCGGGGAGAGACAGAGAGCGAAGGUCAUCCAGCCAAGAAAUGUAGUGCUCCCUCUUACUGUGUCUUUUCUCAUCUGGGUAUUGCUUGCUUUUUGGGCUUCGUGGUUAGUAGCGGAUGCAUGUUGGUUUUUCAGGUGAGGCUUACUCUUGGGGACCUGAACAUGAAACUGAAGGCCGAUUUUGAAGGUCAGGUAAUGAGGUCCUCUGCUCACUCCAUAAUUGAUACUAAGGCUGGAUUCGGUAAACUUGAUUCUCUUGGUUUUCAAUUGGUAUAUGUUGGUUCUAAGCUUGCACCUUUUGUUAGGUUGAUCCCCUUUUUUUCUGCAUUUUUUACCCUGAGUAGCCAAAUAGAGUUUUUUUUUUAAUUGUCUGGAUGUGAUUACAAUUUUGGCGAUAGCGUGAGAAUCUUAAUUGAUGAUGUAUGUGAAAUUUGAUCUUAUUGUGGAAUAAAUUUAAUAGCAGACAAUUUUCUGGGACAUAAUUAAGGAGAAUAUCUCAAUUUGGAAAAGCAAUAUUGUUGCAGACAAAUUAUGGUGUACACUUAUCCCAAAUAUAUAUGUUGUAGGACUUGGUAUAUAUGUUCCUGAUAUCAUAUCCACAUAAAAUCACAGAUUCUAUUGAAUUUCAAUUUCCUUGUUCCUUUCCAAUCAUGAAAAUUUACUCUGAAUCAUUUAAGCUAAAAUGGGCAGGUAAAUGAAAUAGGUAAUGUGAACUUUGAUCCACAGACAAAAAAUCCCAUCUUAUGCUCUCUUUACUUUUUCUCAUAUUGAUUUGAUUUUUCAUGGUGAUUUCAGGUCGCAAAAGACCUUUUAGAGCAAAUUGAAGUUGUAGAAUAAUUGCACAGGUUCAUUUCAUUUUACAUUUUAAUCACUCUUUGGGAUGGACUAUGUACAAGAUAUUGACUAAGUUUAAGUUUUUGUCCAGAAAAUGCUUUUAGUCGGUAAUCUUUUAACAAGACACAUAUAUGGGUGAAUUAAUUUGCUUUGUGAAAAUCUCAGAAAAUAUGUCGUCGUUGUGAUUGGUAAAUUCAUCUUUAUGUCAAAAACAAGAGAUAGUGUUUUGAAAACCAGUGCUUUGAUGUGCUCUAAUGUCUCAGUAUUUCUUAUCCUUUUCUUUUGGUUCUAUCCAUAUUUUUUUUUCAUUUUCGGUGUAGAGCCGAUGGGAUAUCUUUGAAUGAAAAUCUAUGGAGGAUUUGUUAACAUGUGCCUGGUCGAGUUUGGUUGAUUUUGGGCGGGAUCCAAUUUGUUAGUUUCUCAGGUAUGUUCUUGAUGUUGUUAUGCUUGACUUUAUUGGCUUUUGCGUUUGCAUUUGAAUUUUUAUCGUGUUUUCAUUUGAAUUUUUUUGUGCGUUGGCAUGAAAUUUGGUGUUUGAAUGCAAAG